CAAUAGCGUAUAUUUAAGUUGUUGCAGUUAAAACGCUCGUAGUCGGAAUUUGGCAGUUCCGGAUGUGUGCACGUCGUGUGCGCACUUCGCGGGGAUUGCUUUUGUGGUCUUGCGUAGGAUGAGGCACUUUUAUUAGUGAACGUCCUCACGCAACCACUUUUUACUGUGAGAAAAUCAGAGUGCUCAAAGCAGGCAUUUGCCGUGAAUGUAUUAGCAUGGAAUAAUAGAAUAGGACUUGGUUCUAUUUUGUUGGCUUGUUGGGACUGAGUAAUGAUUAAGAGGGACAGUUGGGGGCAUUUGUAUUUCGGUGCUAGAGGUGAAAUUCUUAGAUUACCGAAAGACAAACUGCUGCGAAAGCGUCUGCCAAGGAUGUUUUCAUUGA
Molecule: ribosomal RNA, 382 nt
Filed under: uncultured eukaryote
Lineage: Eukaryota
Description: partial 18S ribosomal RNA
Rfam family: Eukaryotic small subunit ribosomal RNA
Source: RNAcentral